AGCGUACACGGUGGAUGCCCUGGCAGUCAGAGGCGAUGAAGGACGUGCUAAUCUGCGAUAAGCGUCGGUAAGGUGAUAUGAACCGUUAUAACCGGCGAUUUCCGAAUGGGGAAACCCAGUGUGUUUCGACACACUAUCAUUAACUGAAUCCAUAGGUUAAUGAGGCGAACCGGGGGAACUGAAACAUCUAAGUACCCCGAGGAAAAGAAAUCAACCGAGAUUCCCCCAGUAGCGGCGAGCGAACGGGGAGGAGCCCAGAGCCUGAAUCAGUGUGUGUGUUAGUGGAAGCGUCUGGAAAGGCGCGCGAUACAGGGUGACAGCCCCGUACACAAAAAUGCACAUACUGUGAGCUCGAUGAGUAGGGCGGGACACGUGGUAUCCUGUCUGAAUAUGGGGGGACCAUCCUCCAAGGCUAAAUACUCCUGACUGACCGAUAGUGAACCAGUACCGUGAGGGAAAGGCGAAAAGAACCCCGGCGAGGGGAGUGAAAAAGAACCUGAAACCGUGUACGUACAAGCAGUGGGAGCCUCUUUUAUGGGGUGACUGCGUACCUUUUGUAUAAUGGGUCAGCGACUUAUAUUCUGUAGCAAGGUUAACCGAAUAGGGGAGCCGAAGGGAAACCGAGUCUUAACUGGGCGUUAAGUUGCAGGGUAUAGACCCGAAACCCGGUGAUCUAGCCAUGGGCAGGUUGAAGGUUGGGUAACACUAACUGGAGGACCGAACCGACUAAUGUUGAAAAAUUAGCGGAUGACUUGUGGCUGGGGGUGAAAGGCCAAUCAAACCGGGAGAUAGCUGGUUCUCCCCGAAAGCUAUUUAGGUAGCGCCUCGUGAAUUCAUCUCCGGGGGUAGAGCACUGUUUCGGCAAGGGGGUCAUCCCGACUUACCAACCCGAUGCAAACUGCGAAUACCGGAGAAUGUUAUCACGGGAGACACACGGCGGGUGCUAACGUCCGUCGUGAAGAGGGAAACAACCCAGACCGCCAGCUAAGGUCCCAAAGUCAUGGUUAAGUGGGAAACGAUGUGGGAAGGCCCAGACAGCCAGGAUGUUGGCUUAGAAGCAGCCAUCAUUUAAAGAAAGCGUAAUAGCUCACUGGUCGAGUCGGCCUGCGCGGAAGAUGUAACGGGGCUAAACCAUGCACCGAAGCUGCGGCAGCGACGCUGAUGCGUUGUUGGGUAGGGGAGCGUUCUGUAAGCCUGCGAAGGUGUGCUGUGAGGCAUGCUGGAGGUAUCAGAAGUGCGAAUGCUGACAUAAGUAACGAUAAAGCGGGUGAAAAGCCCGCUCGCCGGAAGACCAAGGGUUCCUGUCCAACGUUAAUCGGGGCAGGGUGAGUCGACCCCUAAGGCGAGGCCGAAAGGCGUAGUCGAUGGGAAACAGGUUAAUAUUCCUGUACUUGGUGUUACUGCGAAGGGGGGACGGAGAAGGCUAUGUUGGCCGGGCGACGGUUGUCCCGGUUUAAGCGUGUAGGCUGGUUUUCCAGGCAAAUCCGGAAAAUCAAGGCUGAGGCGUGAUGACGAGGCACUACGGUGCUGAAGCAACAAAUGCCCUGCUUCCAGGAAAAGCCUCUAAGCAUCAGGUAACAUCAAAUCGUACCCCAAACCGACACAGGUGGUCAGGUAGAGAAUACCAAGGCGCUUGAGAGAACUCGGGUGAAGGAACUAGGCAAAAUGGUGCCGUAACUUCGGGAGAAGGCACGCUGAUAUGUAGGUGAAGUCCCUCGCGGAUGGAGCUGAAAUCAGUCGAAGAUACCAGCUGGCUGCAACUGUUUAUUAAAAACACAGCACUGUGCAAACACGAAAGUGGACGUAUACGGUGUGACGCCUGCCCGGUGCCGGAAGGUUAAUUGAUGGGGUCAGCGCAAGCGAAGCUCUUGAUCGAAGCCCCGGUAAACGGCGGCCGUAACUAUAACGGUCCUAAGGUAGCGAAAUUCCUUGUCGGGUAAGUUCCGACCUGCACGAAUGGCGUAAUGAUGGCCAGGCUGUCUCCACCCGAGACUCAGUGAAAUUGAACUCGCUGUGAAGAUGCAGUGUACCCGCGGCAAGACGGAAAGACCCCGUGAACCUUUACUAUAGCUUGACACUGAACAUUGAGCCUUGAUGUGUAGGAUAGGUGGGAGGCUUUGAAGUGUGGACGCCAGUCUGCAUGGAGCCGACCUUGAAAUACCACCCUUUAAUGUUUGAUGUUCUAACGUUGACCCGUGAUCCGGGUUGCGGACAGUGUCUGGUGGGUAGUUUGACUGGGGCGGUCUCCUCCUAAAGAGUAACGGAGGAGCACGAAGGUUGGCUAAUCCUGGUCGGACAUCAGGAGGUUAGUGCAAUGGCAUAAGCCAGCUUGACUGCGAGCGUGACGGCGCGAGCAGGUGCGAAAGCAGGUCAUAGUGAUCCGGUGGUUCUGAAUGGAAGGGCCAUCGCUCAACGGAUAAAAGGUACUCCGGGGAUAACAGGCUGAUACCGCCCAAGAGUUCAUAUCGACGGCGGUGUUUGGCACCUCGAUGUCGGCUCAUCACAUCCUGGGGCUGAAGUAGGUCCCAAGGGUAUGGCUGUUCGCCAUUUAAAGUGGUACGCGAGCUGGGUUUAGAACGUCGUGAGACAGUUCGGUCCCUAUCUGCCGUGGGCGCUGGAGAACUGAGGGGGGCUGCUCCUAGUACGAGAGGACCGGAGUGGACGCAUCACUGGUGUUCGGGUUGUCAUGCCAAUGGCACUGCCCGGUAGCUAAAUGCGGAAGAGAUAAGUGCUGAAAGCAUCUAAGCACGAAACUUGCCCCGAGAUGAGUUCUCCCUGACUCCUUGA
RNAcentral lists this ribosomal RNA (2787 nucleotides) under Escherichia coli. RNAcentral describes it as "bacterial LSU rRNA". It matches the Rfam family "Bacterial large subunit ribosomal RNA". Lineage: Bacteria; Pseudomonadati; Pseudomonadota; Gammaproteobacteria; Enterobacterales; Enterobacteriaceae. The record is from RNAcentral.